Molecule: long non-coding RNA, 1564 nt
Organism: Cygnus olor (mute swan)
Lineage: Eukaryota; Metazoa; Chordata; Aves; Anseriformes; Anatidae
Exons: 2
Source: RefSeq, a predicted model, not a curated record
GACUAAAUAGCAAGGAACCAAACUCAACUGAAAAAAAAAAAAAAAAGUAAAAAAGUACUUCUCAGAUCAUUUAACAUGCCAGAAAUAAAUGGUUGCUACAUGACCAGGGUCCCCUUGGAUUAAUCUGGGUAUAUAGACAGGGUUGUAAUGCUCACUUUAUGAAUCAAAUCUUGAAUCUGCAAUUUUAAUUCUCAGUAGGAAAGAAUCUGUCAUGUUUUUCUCCCAGAAAUAUUAAGGACAUGCACUUUUCAUCCUGGCAUGCCAAAGGCUGCAACCCAGCAAGUCAAAGAGGAGAUGGACAUGAGCAUCACAUGUUCUUCUCUACUGGAGAAAAAGGGGAAAAAAAAAGGCUGCACUCAUCCUACUCAGACAGACUCUCGCUGACAACUCCUUAAGUUAAAUAUAGUCAUCUCAGUUUGAGUGUCUGCUGCACUGCAGCUGCUGCUAAACACCAUUUCCCUGACAUGGGUGUACAACUCACAGGCUGCAUCUGCGGGUGAGCCUGCAGCCAGCUUUGGGGAUGGCUUUCCCUGAUCUGAGGGCACUGGGGAAGUGACACAUAUGUGCAUACCCUUGCUGUGCUGGGCUAAGACAUGCUGAUUUGUCAUUUCACAACUAUUUGCUCAGUGGAAGCCAUCAGAUGCAAACUAAAGCCUUCCUGUUACUCCAGUAUUGUACAUCUUUCUGAAAACCAGCCGAGGAGAUUGAGCGGGUCCUCAGCUUUAAAGAGAAAGGCACUUGCUCUGUCCUCCUCCUCAGGAGGCCGGGAGAAAGGGAGCAGGAGCCAGUGCCAAGACAACAUGGGAACCGCACCCCAGUGGAGCACAGUGCCUGCCAGCAGCCCCUGCUCAGCUCAGACUGUGUGACCGCAGAGACAAGUCUCUACAAAGACAUCUUCACUUACAGUGGAGCUACAGCAGUGUCAGCAGUUAUUUUGCCAGCUCUGUUUAAAGAGGCUGGACCCCCUGCUAAAACCAGUCUGAUGAUGUAAACUUGGAUCCAAUGCCUCAAAAGUAUUUGCUUAGAUGUCUAAUCCAUAGUUAGAUGCCUACAACCUUUGAGGAGUUCCAUCUUCAACCAAGACCAUUUGAUAAAGAAACUCUAUAUUGUCGUGACAAUCAUUUAAUACUUAUUUUUCAUGGAUCUCAGUGCCUUACAGUUAUCUGCACAAGAUUCCCGAAAGAUAGGAAACUAUUAUCUCUGCUCAGAAAUGUGGUACUAGAACAUAUGGUAGGUCAGGUCCGUUGUCUAAAUUCACGCAGGAAACCUGUCUGAGCCUGGGUUUAGAGCCAGGUCUCCAGAGUCUCAGCCCACUGCACUAGAUGAUAGGCUGCCUUUCUCCUCUGGAAAUGUGACUGAAAACCCUCUGAAGCAAGAGACCUGCAUUGCUUGUCUAAUUGCAGCAGUAGGAAGAAAUUUAAAUGCUAGUCAGGGUCAGGCAAGGGGGAAAUUAUGAUUUAAUUACAAAAAGUCAGCAUGGAUUCACAAAAGCAAGCUUGGGCUUAACAAUCCACUGAUGGGAUUUUUUUUAGGUUGGAUAAUAAAAAAUAUCUGAUAACAGGAA